This 202-nucleotide long non-coding RNA is filed under the name Vigna radiata. RNAcentral's name for it is "long non-coding RNA (VRAD_LNC005136)". Lineage: Eukaryota; Viridiplantae; Streptophyta; Magnoliopsida; Fabales; Fabaceae. The record is from RNAcentral.
AAGUUAGGAGCGGUUUUGGGAAUUGUGUAUCACAAUUGUAUGUUUGAGUUCUGCUCAAACGUAAGUAGAGUGUGAGUGGAAUGUGAUUGAAAGAUGAUUAGAAGGUGAUUGGAAGUACCUGGCUUGUGGCCCUGACUCUCUAUUUAUAAUUUGUCUCAUGGACCUUGAACUGAUAUAAGCCCAACAAAAUAAAAUAUAAACA